GAUGAACGCUGGCGGCGUGCCUAAUACAUGCAAGUCGAGCGAACAGACGAGGAGCUUGCUCCUCUGACGUUAGCGGCGGACGGGUGAGUAACACGUGGAUAACCUACCUCUAAGACUGGGAUAACUUCGGGAAACCGGAGCUAAUACCGCAUAAAAUAUUGAACCGCAUGGUUCAAUAGUGAAAGACGGUUUUGCUGUCACUUAUAGAUGGACCCGCGCCGCUUUAGCUGGUUGGUAAGGUAACGGCUUACCAAGGCGACGAUGAGUACCCGACCCGAUAGGGGGAUCGGCCACACUGGAACGGAGACACGGUCCAGACUCCUACGGGAGGCAGCAGUGGGGAAUCUUCCGCAAUGGCGGAAAGCCUGACGGAGCAACGCCGCGUGAGUGAUGAAGGUCUUCGGAUCGUAAAACUCUGUUAUUAGGGAGAAACAAAUGUGUAAGUAACUAUGCACGUCUUGACGGUACCUAAUCAGAAAGCCACGGCUAACUACGUG
This 497-nucleotide ribosomal RNA is filed under the name uncultured bacterium. Its description in RNAcentral is "partial 16S ribosomal RNA". It matches the Rfam family "Bacterial small subunit ribosomal RNA", at positions 28 to 507 of the family's 1533-position model. The record is from RNAcentral.